GAUGAACGCUGGCGGCGUGCCUAAUACAUGCAAGUCGAACGGAAAGGCCCUGCUCUUGUGGCGUGCUCGUGUGGCGAACGGGUGAGUAACACGCGUGGAACCUGUCCCUGUCAUUGGGAUAACUUCAGGGAACUGGGGCUAUUAUCGGAGAGGAUCUCCUGCUGCACGGUGGGGGUUGGAAAGUUUCGGCGGUUGGGGCUGGACUGGCGGCUUAUCAGCUGGAUGGUGGGGUAGGGGCUUUCCAAGGCUUUGACGGGUAGCCGGCCUGAGAGGGUGACCGGCCACAUUGGGACUGCGAGACGGCCCAGACUCCUACGGGCGGCAGCAGUGGGGAAUAUUGCACAGUGGGCCGAAGCCUGUUGCAGCAACGCCGCGUGCGUGAUGACGGCCUUCGGGUUGUAAACCGCUUUCGCCUGUGACGAAGCGUGAGUGACGGUAAUGGGUAAAGAAGCACCGGCUAACUACGUG
This 468-nucleotide ribosomal RNA is filed under the name uncultured bacterium. RNAcentral's name for it is "partial 16S ribosomal RNA". It matches the Rfam family "Bacterial small subunit ribosomal RNA", at positions 28 to 507 of the family's 1533-position model. The record is from RNAcentral.